UCCCAUAUGUUCUAGUGGCUAGGAUACCUGGCUUUCACCCAGGAGGCUCGGGCUCAAUUCCCGGUAUGGGAA
Non-coding RNA from Daphnia pulex (common water flea), 72 nucleotides. NCBI's taxonomy places the organism in Eukaryota, Metazoa, Arthropoda, Branchiopoda, Diplostraca, Daphniidae. The record is from Rfam.